Long non-coding RNA from Pezoporus flaviventris, 463 nucleotides. RefSeq lists it as uncharacterized. The record is from RefSeq and is a predicted model, not a curated record. NCBI's taxonomy places the organism in Eukaryota, Metazoa, Chordata, Aves, Psittaciformes, Psittacidae. The transcript has 5 exons.
CCCUUCCCGUUCAUCUCCCAACCGGGCCCCGCCGCAGGCUGAGCUAGAAGACGGCUGGGGACGAUGAUUGGCUGCCAGGCGUGGGGCGCCCUGUGAUUGGCCGGAUUCCUGGAGAGCGUCGCCGGAUCGGUGAGGGCGGGGCCGCCCCAGCCCAGCAGCCGCCCCUCCCCCCACCGGGGCUGCCCCUGACCCGCCCCCCGCGGGGACCCAGCCCCGGAGCGGCUGGAUGCAUCGCGCCGUGGAGCCGCUGGGGGGCAGGGCCGGUCGGGACCCCUUCGCCGUGGGGAGCCUGGGCUGCGGUGGGGCCUGGGCCGCCUGCCCCCCACCCCGGGCCUGGCUGCCCGCCACCAGGUGCUCUUCCAGCCUCGGGCAGGCCCCGCUGCCCCCCCACCUCCUGCCCCCCCACGGAGGCAAUGGGGUCCCCCCCCACAAGUCCUUCUACCCCCCAGGGUAAGUUCUACCC